GCGCGGAUGGUCUAUCGGUUAUGAUUUCUGCCUUCCAAGCAGAUGAGCCGGGUUCGACUCCCGGUCCGCGCA
RNAcentral lists this transfer RNA (72 nucleotides) under Candidatus Pacearchaeota archaeon. Its description in RNAcentral is "tRNA-Gly". It matches the Rfam family "tRNA". From Rfam's summary of the family: Transfer RNA (tRNA) molecules are approximately 80 nucleotides in length. Their secondary structure includes four short double-helical elements and three loops (D, anti-codon, and T loops). Lineage: Archaea; Nanobdellati. The record is from RNAcentral.